RNAcentral lists this long non-coding RNA (668 nucleotides) under Nicotiana tabacum (common tobacco). RNAcentral describes it as "long non-coding RNA (NTAB_LNC014964)". Lineage: Eukaryota; Viridiplantae; Streptophyta; Magnoliopsida; Solanales; Solanaceae. The record is from RNAcentral.
AACAAAGGCAGGGUAUAAGAAACAUGAUAGCAACUGAAUCUGAAAAUGAGAAUUAAAGUACCACUAGAAUUUGAAGAUAAUUUGGUAAACUAUAAAGAGCAAAAUUUCUCCUCCAGAAGAGAGAGCUACAACAAUCGUAUCAUAGAAAUACGCAACUUUUCCAUUGUGAUAUUUCACUGGGAAUUUUUAGGGCCAGAAGUUGGUAGAUUUUCAUACUGCCAAAAAAAACAGAUAAAGUAAAUAAUUUAUAUGGCAUUUCAAAACUAUUUAUUUACCACAAAAAAAAAAACUGAAUAUUAAUGAGAUGAAUGCUGACCUCUGUUUUCAAUUGGCCCAUCUCCUUGAGCAAUUGUUCAAUGAUUUUCUUUUGUUUUUCACUUUCUCCACAUGUAGAGCAAAGUAGAUUCUUCUUCCUUUCACUUACCAAUUUAUUUUUCAAGCGGAGCAUUUCAUUUUCGAGUUUAAGUGCCUUGUUUUCAUUUUUCUUUUCGCUAAAAAUUGAAAGCACCAUAAAAAUUUAUUGAAGACUGUAAAAUAAAUAAUAAGAAAAGAGGAAAAAGAAAUGGAAAAACAACUCACUUGCUAAGUUCUUGCUCUGAACUAGAACCACGUUUCCGAGAAGCCAUUAGAUAGAAACUAGAGCAAAUUAAGAAUAAAGUAGCUCUUUU